Molecule: long non-coding RNA, 2221 nt
Filed under: Piliocolobus tephrosceles (Ugandan red Colobus)
Lineage: Eukaryota; Metazoa; Chordata; Mammalia; Primates; Cercopithecidae
Description: lncRNA (ENSPTEG00000006505.1)
Source: RNAcentral
ACAAACACCAGACGAUAAAAAAAAAAAACUAUGAUGAUAAUAAUUUAAUUUUUAAAUUUCAAUUUGAAACAAAUAAAACUUUAUCCAAAAUACCAAACAAUAAUAAAGAUAUAAAAAAUGAAUUAAAUAAAGAAACAACAUAUAUCAGUCAAAGUGAUAUUAAGACAGUUAAUUCUGGAUUUGUCAUUUUGAAUGAUGAAAAGAAAAAUAGUGAUAAGUAUAAACAAAAACGUUUAAUGUUAGAUCGACAAAAUAAAUUGCAUGAACAUAUAAAUAAUAAUACAAUAUAUGAAAAAGAUCGUGUAAAAAUAUGGAAUAAUCAUAUUAAUACAUAUGAUACUAAUAUUUCUUCACACAAAAAUGUGAAUCAAUUAAAUGAACAGUUAGAUGUUUUUUCAAACGAAUUAUCAAAAAACUAUUUUAAAAGUAAUGGUAAUAAUAAUAUGUACGAAAAUAAUAGUCAGUAUUUAAACUUAUUUAAUGUAAAAAAAAGGAAAAUUAUUUCAAAUGAAAUAUCGAAAAGUAUACAUCAAAGUGGUACAUACCAUAAUGGUAACAACGUUACAUAUCAUAAUAGGAAUAAUGAUAGUAGAUGUCAUAGUAAUGUUACGCAAAGAAUAGAACAAAUGGAAAAAACAAAUAAUAACCCAUUUGAUGUCAACAAAUAUACUAAAAAAUUAACUAAUUAUCAGAAUGAAAAUAACGAUAUAAAUGAUACUUGUACAGGCAACUCCUACAACUAUAUAAAACGAGUAUAUCAUGAAAUUAACAAUUUAAAUAAUUUUAAAAUUAAUAAAACCGAUAAUAAUGUUAUAAAAAUUGAUGAUUCAGAGUUUGAAAAAUGUAGUGAGUCUGAAAAUUGUAGUGAGUCUAAAAAUGGUAGUGAGUCUAAAAAUGGUAGUGAGUCUAAAAAUGGUAGUGAAUCUGAAAGUGGUAGUGAGUCUGAAAGUGGUAGUGAAUCUACAAAUGGUAGUGAGACUGAUAGUGGUAGUGAGUCUACAAAUGGUUGUGAGCCUGGAAAUAGUAGUGAAUCUAAAAAUGGUAGUGAGCUUGCAAAUAGUAGUGAGUUCGAAAAUGAUAGUGAUCUUGAAAAUGGUAGUGAGUUACAAAACUAUAGCGAGUUACAAAAUUAUAGCAACAUACAAAAUUAUAACAACAUACAAAAUGACAAUAUCUGCUUUAAAGGUCCAAAAAAUACAACUGAUUUUGUUUUGACACGUGAUCAAGUUCAAAAUCAAGAAACAAAUAGAUUAUUAAAUUACAAACACGACAAAAAUGAUAAUAAUUACCACCAGAUACAGAAUCACAUUUACAACAGAGGUGAUAGCUACGAUUUUGCGAAUAGAAAUAAUAAUAAUGUUCAUUUGGAUGCAAACAUAAAAAACAACGAUAAUAUUUUUAUAAACGAUCAAAACUUAAAUAGAGAAAAUAAAAGUAACAUAAAAAAUAAUAAAGCUACUAAUAAAAAUGAAAUAUAUUGUGACUACGACUUAACCAGUGACGUAAACAAUAAAGACAAUAAUGACAUACAACACAUGAACCGUAAAAAAAAUGACUACAUGUAUACAAGUAGUGAAAUGUCGAAAUAUAAUUUUGUUCCGUAUAAAAUAAACAAUAUAUAUGAUAUAAUCAACAAAAUAUAUAGGAAUUUUAAAAAAACUAUGUAUUUAGAUAAAUUAGAAUAUUAUGUUUAUGCUUUUUUAAAUUUUUCUUUAACUGAAUACAUAAAAUUACAAUUUUUACAAAAAGAAAAACAGAUAAAUAUAGAAAUAUUAAAAUGGUAUAUAAUUAAAAAAAAAAAAGAUCAAAAAAAUGUAUGGUUUUUAAAUAAUUACAAAAUUGAUAAUCAUAGUAUUACCCGAUUAAACAGAUUAAAUUAUAUUGAUGAUUCGAUUAUUGAUUUUUUUAAUAAUUAUAUUUAUUCAUUUAUUUUAAAGCUCGACAAUAAUAAUAAUAGUAGUAGUAGUAGUAGUAAUAAAAAUAGCAGAAGUUAUAAAAACGACAUAUACAUUUUUAAUACCUUUUUUUAUAAAAAAAUUGAAUUAUAUGAUGAUGAAUUUAAGGCAUAUAAGAACACCAAAGGUUGGAUUAAAAAAUUAAAAAAAAAAAUAUAUGAAUAUAAAUACGUUUUUGUACCAAUAAAUGUUAAUAACACUCACUGGUCACUAGUAUUAAUAUAUUUUUCCUUCAACAAUAUACAAAAAUAUAAAGAAAAUUGUUU